UACAGAGGGGGCAAGCGUUAUUCGGAAUUAUUGGGCGUAAAGGGCGCGUAGGCGGUCCUUCAAGUCUCUCGUGAAAUCCCUCGGCUUAACUGAGGACGUGCGGGAGAUACUGCUGGGCUUGAGUCCGGAAGAGGGUGGUGGAAUUCCCAGUGUAGCGGUGAAAUGCGUAGAUAUUGGGAGGAACACCGGUGGCGAAGGCGGCCACCUGGGCUGACACUGACGCUCAGGCACGAAAGCGUGGGGAGCAAACAGG
RNAcentral lists this ribosomal RNA (253 nucleotides) under uncultured bacterium. Its description in RNAcentral is "partial 16S ribosomal RNA". It matches the Rfam family "Bacterial small subunit ribosomal RNA", at positions 524 to 776 of the family's 1533-position model. The record is from RNAcentral.